Molecule: ribosomal RNA, 253 nt
Filed under: uncultured bacterium
Lineage: Bacteria
Description: partial 16S ribosomal RNA
Rfam family: Bacterial small subunit ribosomal RNA
Source: RNAcentral
GACAGAGGGUGCAAACGUUGUUCGGAAUUACUGGGCGUAAAGCGCGUGUAGGCUGCUCAGAAAGUCGGAUGUGAAAGCCCUGGGCUUAACCUAGGAAGAGCAUUCGAAACUUCUGAGCUUGAGUUCUGGAGAGGAAGGCGGAAUUCUCGGUGUAGAGGUGAAAUUCGUAGAUAUCGAGAGGAACACCGGUGGCGAAGGCGGCCUUCUGGACAGUGACUGACGCUGAGACGCGAAAGCGUGGGGAGCGAACAGG